RNAcentral lists this ribosomal RNA (433 nucleotides) under uncultured bacterium. RNAcentral's name for it is "partial 16S ribosomal RNA". It matches the Rfam family "Bacterial small subunit ribosomal RNA", at positions 29 to 507 of the family's 1533-position model. The record is from RNAcentral.
AACGAACGCUGGCGGCAUGCCUAACACAUGCAAGUCGAACGAGACCUUCGGGUCUUGUGGCGCACGGGUGCGUAACGCGUGGGAACCUGCCCUUAGGUUAGGAAUAACUCCCCGAAAGGGGUGCUAAUACCGGAUAAUCUCUUCGGACCAAAGAUUUAUCGCUUUUGGAUGGGCCCGCGUUGGAUUAGCUAGUUGGUAGGGUAAAAGCCUAUCAAGGCGACGAUCCAUAGCUGGUCUGAGAGGAUGAUCAGCCACACUGGGACUGAGACACGGCCCAGACUCCUACGGGAGGCAGCAGUGGGGAAUAUUGGACAAUGGGCGAAAGCCUGAUCCAGCAAUGCCGCGUGAGUGAUGAAGGCCUGAGGGUUGUAAAGCUCUUUUACCCGGGAUGAUAAUGACAGUACCGGGAGAAUAAGCUCCGGCUAACUCCGUG